UUUGUGCAAGCAAAGCAAGAGGUUUUCGGAACUUUGAUAGGCCAUAUGAGGUGUUGGAAAUUGAAAUGGAAAGAUGGGGGACAAGGAGGGCAGUGCCAAAUCAAGGAACCUUAAAAUUCAAGCAAUGGUUGUCGUCAUUAACAACAGGGAAUGGCGUUUUAAGGUGUGAAGCUCCAAAUGUGUAGCUUAUAUUAUCACACUGUCUUCAGCAAAAAAAGGAUUGUGCAAAGAAUUGAUUGUCUAUGAGGGUUCAUAAAGGCAGCCAUGUCCAUCAUGACUGCUCCAUCUGGACAUGCGUGACCAGUAAGAGCAAACCCUAGACGGCCUAGAUGGAGAGAUGACAACACGAGUGAUUUUAAUGUGCCACUGCGGUAUUGAAUUACUUGUCUGUUAUGUUCCAUGUAUGUUGCUGUGGAUGCCCGCUGACACCUUGAUUCUCUAUCUAGAUGUCUCUGUCAUCACUCUUAACCUAAUAUUUGUUACAGUGAAUAGAGAGUUAGAAUAGUUUUUUUUUCCU
Populus nigra (black poplar) is the source of this 517-nucleotide long non-coding RNA. RefSeq lists it as uncharacterized. The transcript has 2 exons. The record is from RefSeq and is a predicted model, not a curated record. Lineage: Eukaryota; Viridiplantae; Streptophyta; Magnoliopsida; Malpighiales; Salicaceae.